RNAcentral lists this ribosomal RNA (216 nucleotides) under Glomeromycotina sp. RNAcentral's name for it is "partial small subunit ribosomal RNA". The stretch from base 47 to 216 matches the Rfam family "Eukaryotic small subunit ribosomal RNA", at positions 693 to 864 of the family's 1831-position model. Lineage: Eukaryota; Fungi; Glomeromycota. The record is from RNAcentral.
GGGUCAGUAGGUUGGUCGUGCCACCGGUACGUACUGGUCUCACUGGUUCCUCCUUCCUGAAGAACCGUAAUGCCAUUAAUUUGGUGUUGCGGGGAAACAGGACUGUUACUUUGAAAAAAUUAGAGUGUUUAAAGCAAGCUAACGCUUGAAUACAUUAGCAUGGAAUAAUGAAAUAGGACGAUCGAUCCUAUUUUGUUGGUUUCUAGGAUUGACGUA